RNAcentral lists this ribosomal RNA (429 nucleotides) under Bacteroidota bacterium. RNAcentral's name for it is "Bacteroidetes bacterium partial 16S ribosomal RNA". It matches the Rfam family "Bacterial small subunit ribosomal RNA", at positions 355 to 776 of the family's 1533-position model. Lineage: Bacteria; Pseudomonadati; Bacteroidota. The record is from RNAcentral.
UAGGGAAUCUUCCGCAAUGGACGCAAGUCUGACGGAGCAACGCCGCGUGAGUGAAGAAGGAUUUCGGUUCGUAAAACUCUGUUGUUAGAGAAGAACAGCGCAUAGAGUAACUGUUAUGCGUGUGACGGUAUCUAACCAGAAAGCCACGGCUAACUACGUGCCAGCAGCCGCGGUAAUACGUAGGUGGCAAGCGUUGUCCGGAUUUAUUGGGCGUAAAGCGAGCGCAGGCGGUCAAUUAAGUCUGAUGUGAAAGCCCCCGGCUCAACCGGGGAGGGUCAUUGGAAACUGGUUGACUUGAGUGCAGAAGAGGAGAGUGGAAUUCCAUGUGGAGCGGUGAAAUGCGUAGAUAUAUGGAGGAACACCAGUGGCGAAGGCGACUCGCUGGUCUGUAACUGACGCUGAGGCUCGAAAGCGUGGGUAGCAAACAGG